UUGAACCGGUCCAGUCUCUACGGAGGCACCAGUGGGAUAUUUGCCAAUGGGGCCAACCCUAAUCAGCCAUCCCGGUGUAUGAAAAAGCCUUCGGGUUGUAAAGUCUUUCAGCAGUAGGAAAGUGGGUAUGUUAAUAGCAUACUCAUUUGACGUUAGCUGCAGAAGAAGCACCGGCUAAUUCCGUGCCAGCAGCCGCGGUAAUACGGAGGGUGCGAGCGUUAAUCGGAAUUACUGGGCGUAAAGCGCAUGCAGGUGGUUUGUUAAGUCAGAUGUGAAAGCCCGGGGCUCAACCUCGGAAUUGCAUUUGAAACUGGCAAACUAGAGUACUGUAGAGGGGGGUAGAAUUUCAGGUGUAGCGGUGAAAUGCGUAGAGAUCUGAAGGAAUACCGGUGGCGAAGGCGGCCCCCUGGACAGAUACUGACACUCAGAUGCGAAAGCGUGGGGAGCAAACAGGAUUAGAUACCCUGGUAGUCCACGCCGUAAACGAUGUCUACUUGGAGGUUGUGGCCUUGAGCCGUGGCUUUCGGAGCUAACGCGUUAAGUAGACCGCCUGGGGAGUACGGUCGCAAGAUUAAAACUCAAAUGAAUUGACGGGGGCCCGCACAAGCGGUGGAGCAUGUGGUUUAAUUCGAUGCAACGCGAAGAACCUUACCUACUCUUGACAUCUACAGAAGCCAGCGGAGACGCAGGUGUGCCUUCGGGAACUGUAAGACAGGUGCUGCAUGGCUGUCGUCAGCUCGUGUUGUGAAAUGUUGGGUUAAGUCCCGCAACGAGCGCAACCCUUAUCCUUGUUUGCCAGCACUUCGGGUGGGAACUCCAGGGAGACUGCCGGUGAUAAACCGGAGGAAGGUGGGGACGACGUCAAGUCAUCAUGGCCCUUACGAGUAGGGCUACACACGUGCUACAAUGGCGCAUACAGAGGGCGGCCAACUUGCGAAAGUGAGCGAAUCCCAAAAAGUGCGUCGUAGUCCGGAUUGGAGUCUGCAACUCGACUCCAUGAAGUCGGAAUCGCUAGUAAUCGUGGAUCAGAAUGCCACGGUGAAUACGUUCCCGGGCCUUGUACACACCGCCCGUCACACCAUGGGAGUGGGCUGCAAAAGAAGUGGGUAGUUUAACCUUCGGGAGGACGCUCACCACUUUGUGGUUCAUGACUGGGGUGAAGUCGUAACAAGGUAACCG
This 1179-nucleotide ribosomal RNA is filed under the name uncultured bacterium. RNAcentral describes it as "bacterial SSU rRNA". It matches the Rfam family "Bacterial small subunit ribosomal RNA", at positions 321 to 1502 of the family's 1533-position model. The record is from RNAcentral.